This 618-nucleotide ribosomal RNA is filed under the name uncultured Gammaproteobacteria bacterium. RNAcentral describes it as "partial 16S ribosomal RNA". The record is from RNAcentral. Lineage: Bacteria; Pseudomonadati; Pseudomonadota; Gammaproteobacteria.
UCCAACGCGUUGGGAGCUCUCCCUAUGGUCGACCUGCAGGCGGCCGCGAAUUCACUAGUGAUUCGUAUUACCGCGGCUGCUGGCACAGAGUUAGCCGGUGCUUAUUCUGCGGGUACCGUCAUAGCAACGAGUUAUUCGCUCGUUACCUUUCUUCCCCACCUAAAGUGCUUUACAACCCGAAGGCCUUCUUCACACACGCGGCAUCGCUGGAUCAGGGUUUCCCCCAUUGUCCAAGAUUCCCCACUGCUGCCUCCCGUAGGAGUCUGGGCCGUGUCUCAGUCCCAGUGUGGCUGGUCAUCCUCUCAGACCAGCUACGGAUCGUCGCCUUGGUAGGCUUUUACCCCACCAACUAGCUAAUCCGACGUAGGCUCACCCCAGAGCGCAAGGCCUUUCGGUCCCCUGCUUUUGAUCUCUCGAUAUCACGUGGUAUUAGCCCGAGUUUCCUCGGGUUAUCCCACGCUCCAGGACAGAUUCCUACGUGUUACUCACCCGUCCGCCACUCGCCACCCCAUAAAGACCGAAAUCUUUACUGUGCUGCCGUUCGACUUGCAUGUGUUAGGCAUGCCGCCAGCGUUCAAUCUGAGCCAUGAUCAAACUCUAAUCGAAUUCCCGCGGCCG